Molecule: ribosomal RNA, 482 nt
Filed under: uncultured bacterium
Lineage: Bacteria
Description: partial 16S ribosomal RNA
Rfam family: Bacterial small subunit ribosomal RNA
Source: RNAcentral
AUUGAACGCUGGCGGCAUGCCUUACACAUGCAAGUCGAACGGUAACGGGCCUUCGGGUGCCGACGAGUGGCGAACGGGUGCGUAAUACAUCGGAACGUGCCCGAUCGUGGGGGAUAACGAGGCGAAAGCUUUGCUAAUACCGCAUACGAUCUACGUCUGAAAGCAGGGGACCGCAAGGCCUUGCGCGGACGGAGCGGCCGGUGGCGGAUUAGGUAGUUGGUGGGAUAAAGGCUUACCAAGCCGACGAUCUGUAGCUGGUCUGAGAGGAUGAUCAGCCACACUGGGACUGAGACACGGCCCAGACUCCUACGGGAGGCAGCAGUGGGGAAUUUUGGACAAUGGGCGCAAGCCUGAUCCAGCCAUGCCGCGUGCAGGAUGAAGGCCUUCGGGUUGUAAACUGCUUUUGUACGGAACGAAAAGCCUUCCUUUAAUACAGGAGGGUCAUGACGGUACCGUAAGAAUAAGCACCGGCUAACUACGUG